GACGAGCGCUGGCGGCGUGCUUAACACAUGCAAGUCGAGCGGAAAGGCCCCUUCGGGGGUACUCGAGCGGCGAACGGGUGAGUAACACGUGGGUAACCUGCCCCUGACUCUGGGAUAACUCCGGGAAACCGGGGCUAAUACCGGAUAUUCACACAUGCUCGCAUGGGUGUGUGUGGAAAGUUUUUCGGUUGGGGAUGGGCCCGCGGCCUAUCAGCUUGUUGGUGGGGUGAUGGCCUACCAAGGCGACGACGGGUAGCCGGCCUGAGAGGGCGACCGGCCACACUGGGACUGAGACACGGCCCAGACUCCUGCGGGAGGCAGCAGUGGGGAAUAUUGCGCAAUGGGCGGAAGCCUGACGCAGCGACGCCGCGUGAGGGACGACGGCCUUCGGGUUGUAAACCUCUUUCAGCUCCGACGAAGCGAAAGUGACGGUAGGGGCAGAAGAAGCGCCGGCUAACUACGUGCCAGCAGCCGCGGUAAUACGUAGGGCGCAAGCGUUGUCCGGAUUUAUUGGGCGUAAAGAGCUCGUAGGCGGUUUGCCGCGUCGGUUGUGAAAACUCGAAGCUUAACUUUGGGCGUGCAGUCGAUACGGGCAGACUAGAGGCAUGCAGGGGAGAAUGGAAUUCCUGGUGUAGCGGUGAAAUGCGCAGAUAUCAGGAGGAACACCGGUGGCGAAGGCGGUUCUCUGGGCAUGUCCUGACGCUGAGGAGCGAAAGCGUGGGGAGCGAACAGGAUUAGAUACCCUGGUAGUCCACGCCGUAAACGUUGGGCGCUAGGUGUGGGGGGCUUUCCACGUCCUCCGUGCCGCAGCUAACGCAUUAAGCGCCCCGCCUGGGGAGUACGGCCGCAAGGCUAAAACUCAAAGGAAUUGACGGGGGCCCGCACAAGCGGCGGAGCAUGUGGCUUAAUUCGAUGCAACGCGAAGAACCUUACCUGGGUUUGACAUGGGAGGAAAAGCCGUGGAGACACGGUGUCCGUAAGGGCCUUUCACAGGUGGUGCAUGGCUGUCGUCAGCUCGUGUCGUGAGAUGUUGGGUUAAGUCCCGCAACGAGCGCAACCCUCGUCCCAUGUUGCCAGCACGUUAUGGUGGGGACUCAUGGGAGACUGCCGGGGUCAACUCGGAGGAAGGUGGGGAUGACGUCAAGUCAUCAUGCCCCUUAUGUCCAGGGCUGCACACAUGCUACAAUGGCCGGUACAAUGGGCUGCGAUACCGCAAGGUGGAGCGAAUCCCAAAAAGCCGGUCUCAGUUCGGAUUGGGGUCUGCAACUCGACCCCAUGAAGUCGGAGUCGCUAGUAAUCGCAGAUCAGCAAUGCUGCGGUGAAUACGUUCCCGGGCCUUGUACACACCGC
Molecule: ribosomal RNA, 1350 nt
Filed under: uncultured bacterium
Lineage: Bacteria
Description: partial 16S ribosomal RNA
Rfam family: Bacterial small subunit ribosomal RNA
Source: RNAcentral